Zea mays is the source of this 1829-nucleotide RNA transcript. It is a transcript of the gene named zinc finger, C3HC4 type family protein, with no coding region annotated. The record is from RefSeq and is marked validated. The transcript is spliced from 9 exons. Lineage: Eukaryota; Viridiplantae; Streptophyta; Magnoliopsida; Poales; Poaceae.
GAGGUCAAUGCAGGGCGGGACGGAGAAGGAGCAGGGAACAAGAGUACAAGACGAGCAACAGGACAAUCCAACCAACCCUUUCCAUUCCCAAUCUUCCCGUCUCCAAGUCUCCGGUCUCGAAUCCCUCCCUUCCAGAACAAGACACCUGACGCCGCCGCCCCCCCGCCGGCCGCACCCGUCCAUACCAUACCAUACCAUACCUCCGGCCGCUCGUCUCCUAUCUCGUCACCUUCGCCCGGCGCUCAGAUCUCCGCCGCGCCUCUGCCUGAUCCCCCCACCCCCAUUGGAGGGAGACACAUCCCGCGUGGGCGCACGAGGACCUGGUUUUUUUAUCAAAUGCUUGACAAAAUGCUUGCUUGGUGAUGUCUGGCUAUGAUUUGGGUCCUGUUUAUCAUGCAGUUGGCUUCUCAUGGCACUCAAACAGAAGAGACGAUGCAGUUUGUGCCCCAUUGUGAUCAUGCAGAAGUGUCAGAUUCACAGUCAACAAGUUCACAACUAAACCUGAUAGAGAGAUCAACAGAGCAUCUAGCCUCAUGUGAAAUCAACCCAGUGAGCGUUGAUGAUGACAACGACAAUGAACAUAUCGAUGCCAAUGAAGAAACUCACCUUGUUAUUCAGGACGUUCCUCAAUGCCGGAUUUGCCUUGAUAGUGAAGGUGAUGACUUGAUUGCGCCCUGCCGUUGCAAGGGAACGCAGAAGUAUGUCCAUAGGUCCUGUCUUGAUAACUGGAGAUCAACAAAGGAAGGUUUUGCAUUUUCACAUUGCACUGAAUGUCGAGCUGCAUUCUUUCUUCGUGCAAAUGUUCCUCCAGAUCGAUGGUGGUUAAGAUUGAAGUUUCAACUUCUGGUUGUUAGGGAUCACACACUAAUCUUCUUUAUUGUGCAACUGGUAGUUGCUUUCAUGGGUAUGGUGAUUUACAGAUUUUAUGGAGAUGAACUGCGCGAAAUGUUUGGUUAUGAAGAGCACCCAUAUGCUUUCUAUGCCAUGGCGAUUGUUCAAAUUGCAGUACUGGCUAUUGUUUUGGUUGGUUUGCUGUAUGGGUUCUUCAUUGCUAUAAUAUGUGGACAGAGGAUAACUGAACGGCAUUACCAUGUUCUUGCAAAGCAAGAGUUAACCAAGGAGUAUAUUGUAGAAGAUCUUGAAGGAGCUGACCAUGUGCCAGACCUUGAUCCUAGCCAUGUUAUAGAGUUGAAGAUAUUAGGACUAUAUUAAACAUAGCUGCAUAUUACAUCAGAUGAAGAGAGCUCGACGGUCACCUCCAUGGGGACGUGGAUGGAUGGCGAAGAUAAACAUUGUUGAUGAAUGGGGAACAGCAUACCGGAAACAAAUCUCAGGUUGAUGUUGCAAGAAAUACGUACGUCAUUCCACUUCACCUGGAGACAGUGCAAAAUGGGCCUUUGUGUGACUGUCGCCCAUAAAUUCUUGUGAAGCAAAACACACUUGCUCAUUCGAAGAACACCAUUUGAAGAUUCUUUGGUUCCAAUGUAGGCCUGAUAGCUCUCAAACAAGAUAAUAACAUUCAUCGCCGCACAUCUCAACGAAUGAAGAUUAUCGUGAAAGAAGCGCUAGGAUGAUGGUCUCAAUGGACAUUUUUGUAAAGUAGUAGCAUAUUAUAUUCUUUUCUCCCUUGCUUCAGAUACACAACAAACAUGCAACAGCCAAGAUGCUAAUGCCCCGUUUGUUGUACAUACCCUGUAAAACAUUACUGCCAAACUCGCAGUACUUUGUCCUUUUGAUUAUUUUCAUCGAAUCGAUGAACUAAAUAAUGUAACCUGGAGCUGGAGCCGCUCAAAAGUCUACACGCGCUUCAGAAAACGGGAUUGAUGUGA